Oncorhynchus tshawytscha (Chinook salmon) is the source of this 347-nucleotide long non-coding RNA. The record is from Ensembl. Lineage: Eukaryota; Metazoa; Chordata; Actinopteri; Salmoniformes; Salmonidae.
GUGGAAGGUUGAUGUUGUACUGUACUCCUGGAGGAGAGGUGGAAGGUUGAUGUUGUCCUGGAGGACAGGUGGAAGGUUAAUGUUGUACUGGAGGAGAGGAGGAAGGUUGAUGUUGUACUGUACUCCUGAAGGAGAGGUGGAAAUUUGAUGUUGUACUGUACUCCUGGGGGAGAGGUGGAAUGUUGAUGUUGUCCUGGAGGAGAGGUGGAAGGUUGAUGUUGUACUGUACUCCUGAAGGAGAGGUGGAAGGUUGAUGUUCUCCUGGAGGAGAGGUGGAAGGUUGAUGUAGUACUGUACUCCUGGAGGAGUGGUGGAAGGUUGAUGUUGUCCUGGAGGAAAGGUGGAAG